RNAcentral lists this ribosomal RNA (496 nucleotides) under uncultured bacterium. RNAcentral's name for it is "partial 16S ribosomal RNA". It matches the Rfam family "Bacterial small subunit ribosomal RNA", at positions 28 to 507 of the family's 1533-position model. The record is from RNAcentral.
GAUGAACGCUGGCGGCGUGCCUAAUACAUGCAAGUCGAGCGAACGGACGAGAAGCUUGCUUCUCUGAUGUUAGCGGCGGACGGGUGAGUAACACGUGGAUAACCUCCCUAUAAGACUGGGAUAACUUCGGGAAACCGGAGCUAAUACCGGAUAAUAUUUUGAACCGCGUGGUUCAAUAGUGAAUGACGGUCUUGCUGUCACUUAUAGAUGGAUCCGCGCUGCAUUAGCGGGUUGGUAAGGUAACGGCUUACCAAGGCAACGUUGCAUAGCCGACCUGAGAGGGGGAGCGGCCACGCGGGGGUGGACACACGGUCCAGAACCCAGCGGCAGGCCGGAGUAGUGAGUCUGCCGGAAGGGGCGAAAGCCUGACGGAGCAACGCAGCGUGAGUGAGGAAGGCCCCCUGCUCGUAAACCGCUUUUAUGUGGGAAGAAGAUUUGUGUAAGUACCAGGCACAUCUUGACGGUACCGAAACAGAAAGCCACGGCUAACUACGGG